CAGCAGCCACGGUAAUACGAACCGUGCGAACGUUAUUCGGAAUCACUGGGCUUAAAGCGCGUGUACGCGGGCCGCCACGUCGGCUGCUGAAAUCCCCCGGCUCAACCGGGGAACGGGCACCGAUACGAGCGGCCUCGAGGGGGGUAGGGGGGUCUGGAACUUCCGGUGGAGCGGUGAAAUGCGUUGAGAUCGGAAGGAACGCCCGUGGCGAAAGCGAGGCCCUGGACCCUUUCUGACGCUGAGACGCGAAAGCCAGGGGAGCGAACGGGAUUAGAUACCCCAGUAGUCCCUGUCUCUUAUA
This 301-nucleotide ribosomal RNA is filed under the name uncultured bacterium. RNAcentral describes it as "partial 16S ribosomal RNA". It matches the Rfam family "Bacterial small subunit ribosomal RNA", at positions 509 to 807 of the family's 1533-position model. The record is from RNAcentral.